CGUGGGUAACCUACCCAUCAGAGGGGGAUAACACUUGGAAACAGGUGCUAAUACCGCAUAACAGUUUAUGCCGCAUGGCAUAAGAGUGAAAGGCGCUUUCGGGUGUCGCUGAUGGAUGGACCCGCGGUGCAUUAGCUAGUAGGUGGGGUAACGGCUCACCUAGGCGACGAUCCCUAGCUGGUCUGAGAGGAUGACCAGCCACACUGGAACUGAGACACGGUCCAG
This 225-nucleotide ribosomal RNA is filed under the name uncultured bacterium. RNAcentral's name for it is "partial 16S ribosomal RNA". It matches the Rfam family "Bacterial small subunit ribosomal RNA", at positions 116 to 334 of the family's 1533-position model. The record is from RNAcentral.